GAUGAACGCUAGCGGGAGGCCUAACACAUGCAAGCCGAGCGGUAUUUGUUUUUCGGAACAGAGAGAGCGGCGCACGGGUCCGGAACCCGUGUGCAACCUCCCUUUAUCUGGGGGAUAGCCUUUCUAAAGGAAAAUUAAUACCCCUUAAAAUUUUGAGUGGCAUCAUUUGUUAUUUAAAACUCCGUUGGUUAGAGAUGGGAACGCGCAAGAUUAGAUAGUUGGUGAGGUAACGGCUCACCAAGUCAUUGAUCUUUAGGGGGCGUGAGAGGGUGAUCCCCCACACUGGUACUGAGACACGGACCAGACUCCUACGGGAGGCAGCAGUGAGGAAUAUUGGACAAUGGGUUAGCGCCUGAUCCAGCCAUCCCGCGUGAAGGACGACGGCACUAUGGGUUGUAAACUUCUUUUGUAUAGGGAUAAACCUACUCUCGUGAGAGUAGCUGAAGGUACUAUACGAAUAAGCACCGGCUAACUCCGUG
RNAcentral lists this ribosomal RNA (479 nucleotides) under uncultured bacterium. RNAcentral describes it as "partial 16S ribosomal RNA". It matches the Rfam family "Bacterial small subunit ribosomal RNA", at positions 28 to 507 of the family's 1533-position model. The record is from RNAcentral.